Molecule: non-coding RNA, 23 nt
Filed under: Arabidopsis thaliana (thale cress)
Lineage: Eukaryota; Viridiplantae; Streptophyta; Magnoliopsida; Brassicales; Brassicaceae
Source: RNAcentral
CCCAUCCUAGUACUACUCUCGCC